AAUAAAUAAACAAUAAAAUAAAAUCAACUCUCUGCUACAGCUCAACCCUACACGUUUCGUCCGUCUAUAGCCCGGACUUCCUCAGGGGUUAUAAAGUCAUCCGGUCUCCUGUAAAUGUGUACUGGGUCUUGGGUAUCACUCACUCUUUUUUAUAUCCAUAUUCAUUAUUCCCGCCAUUGCCUCCAGCCUAUCAACGACGAGUAGUACAGCU
Non-coding RNA from Pelobates cultripes (western spadefoot toad), 211 nucleotides. The record is from the annotation of a GenBank genome assembly. NCBI's taxonomy places the organism in Eukaryota, Metazoa, Chordata, Amphibia, Anura, Pelobatidae.